Non-coding RNA from Theobroma cacao (cacao), 925 nucleotides. The record is from RefSeq and is a predicted model, not a curated record. Lineage: Eukaryota; Viridiplantae; Streptophyta; Magnoliopsida; Malvales; Malvaceae.
AGGCUAAACAAGCUCUUAAGGGCAAAAUGGUCAUAAAAACAAUGACCUCAUUCAGUGAUAUUUGGAAUGUGCCUUUAAUAGCCUUUAUUUGAACCAAACAAAUGGGUCACUGUUCAGAAUGGAAUAAGGGGCGAAUGGAAUAGCCCUUCCCCUAAACCAAAUGUGGUGUGAGUUCUUUGUGCAGUCAUUGUUUGGAUGAAUGCAUCUGGCUAUCAUGUGAGCAAAAAAACCAUGCAUGUGUUCAGUAGACAGUCAGUUUAUAUGUGUCAUGAUAGUACGUUACUCAUUUGGCAUCAUCCAUAGCAUGCUCAUUUUCUAUCUGACUAGAUAAGUUGCAUAACGAAUGAUUGAAGAAAUAAUGUGGCUGUUAUGAGAAGAGGAUUUUUAUACAUUUCUUGGUAUUGAGAUUGCAAUGUGAGGUUAAAGUAAUAACUAGUAAUAAAUAAUUGUGUAUUAGGUGCCUUUUUUUUUCAGGGACGAGGGGUGAGGGGGUGGAGUGGAGGGUGGCCAUGAAAACUUAUUUGAAGCUGUGUGAAAUUGGUAGUAAAGGAUAUGAAUCCCAAUUCUUGAAGAUAAUGCUUCUCUCUAGCUGAUAAAGGUGGUCCUUGGGUUUUAUGGUGUCAGUUGGAUUUGCUUAAUGUUUUGGUUGUAAUUUCUGGACACUGUAGGCAGGAAGAUGCUGUCUUGAUGGAUGCAUUGCAGCAUUAAGUGAUAAAAUAAAAUACAAUAUUGAGUGUCAAACUACAGUGCCUCAGUUAUUUGUUUUUAACCAUCAUGGAAACACAAUUGAUUUUUAAUAUGGUUUGCGUUGCCGAGUUCUAUUGAUAAAUAAGCUGACUUCAUGUUUUGGUUCAUGUGGGUAAGAUGGGAAUCAAUCUGUAUCACAUUUCUUGGUAAUGAAAGGACCUGAAACUUGUCUCAGCCA